GAUGAACGCUGGCGGCGUGCCUAAUACAUGCAAGUCGAGCGAAGCGGGGACGGGUGAGUAACACGUGGAUAACCUCCUAUAAGACUGGGAUAACUUCGGGAAACCGGAGCUAAACCCGAUCCUUAUACAUGGUUCCUCGCUGCAUUCGCUAGUUGGUAAGGUAACGGCUUUCCAAGGCAACGAUGCAUAGCCGACCUGAGAGGGUGAUCGGCCAAACUGGAACUGAGACACGGUGCAGACUCCUACGUGAGGCAGGAGUAGGGAAUCUUCCGCAAUGGGCGAAAGCCUGACAGAGCAACGCCGCGUGAGUGAUGAAGGUCUUCGGAUCGUAAAACUCUGUUAUUAGGGAAGCGGGACCUAAAGAGAAAGCCACGGCUAACUACGUGCCAGCAGCCGCGGUAAUAG
RNAcentral lists this ribosomal RNA (405 nucleotides) under uncultured bacterium. RNAcentral's name for it is "partial 16S ribosomal RNA". It matches the Rfam family "Bacterial small subunit ribosomal RNA", at positions 28 to 526 of the family's 1533-position model. The record is from RNAcentral.